RNA transcript from Neopsephotus bourkii (Bourke's parrot), 2960 nucleotides. It is a transcript of the gene named coordinator of PRMT5 and differentiation stimulator, with no coding region annotated. Lineage: Eukaryota; Metazoa; Chordata; Aves; Psittaciformes; Psittacidae. The record is from RefSeq and is a predicted model, not a curated record. The transcript has 8 exons.
GUCUCUCGUGGCCGCGGGUCCGGCCUUGGCUUUGGGAGCCCGGCUUCCCGCGCCCUGGGCAGGGGCUGCUCUCCAGCGAAUCCACCUUUGCUGCGGUGCGGAUAACGCACCUUCCCCUGCCUCCCCUCAGGGGAACGUGAGGUCUUACCUUGUGCUCUCCAGCUGCGCGGCCGCCAUUUUUAGCCCCUCAGGAGGCUGCGGGAGGAUCGGUCUCUGUCCUGUUUCCUUGGCACGUUGGCUCCUGUAAGGUGGGAUUCGUAGGCUUUGGUUCUUGUACCCAUUCCACUCCUUCUGUGUUGAAGGUGAUGGCUGGUGCCAUUGAGUCUGAAAGCUUUGAGGAGGAACGGCUGCAAAAUGAGAGAGAAACCAUGACCUGGAAGCCCAGAAAAGAACGUUUGCUGAAGAAUAUUCCGGGUGUUCUUGAUGGUGAGUCUGAAGAAAGUGAAUUCUCUGAUACCUCUCACAAUGAAAGUGAUACCGGUGGCUCUCCUGUUUGCACUGGUCAUGCACAUUCUGACCUGGAAGACUUGGAUGGAGAAUUGUCCAAUAUGUCUGUGGCUGUAACUUACCCAGAGCUGCAAACUGCUGCUGCGCACGAGGUGGAAGACUGGGAUAAAGAAUUGGAGGAUUAUGAUCCUUACGGGAAGCCCGAGCAUUGCAUACGCAAGCCCAUCCCAUGAGCUUUAAGGAUUUGGGCAGAGAUGGUGGAUGGGAAUCCAGCCCAGGCCUUCACAAGCUGCCGUCCCUGCAGGAGCCAGUCCUGUGCUGCUGCAGAGGAUUCAUGGGCUAUUUGGAGGACAUCCUACAUGUGAGUGUCUCUGUGCUUGCAAAUCCUGGGUCUGGACUGUGAUAUUCAGGGAUCCAGUCCAAAGAGUUCCUGAUGCAGUCCAGCUCUCCUCCUCUGCCUCUCCCCAAAGGAAUGCAGGUCUUGACCACACACACUCUCAGCACAGGACCUCUGCCUUGAACUUUAUGCCUCAGACUUCAGCUUCAUGAACCCUUCGAUGGCCUCUCUGCAGCUGCACUGGGCCACACACAGUUGCAGUUCUCUGCUGGGAGGUGACAGGCAUGGAGGUGGCACUGGACCUGUGAGCACUUCUCUGCAAAGUCAAACAGGAAAAGAAACACCGUUAAUGGGCACAUCAGUGGUGUUGGCACGAUGCUGGAACAGGGCAGCUGCACUGAUGGUGCCGCUCAGCUUCUCGGUUGGCCUCCUUCCUGCAGCGAAACCCCACUGGCCUGGCAGGCCAUAGGGAUGCUCGAGGACAAGGCAGAGGUAUGGAUUAACUCAGAGGGGAAAGCAGAGGGGAGAGGAAGAUCUCAGUCACAUCAAUCCCGUUCAUCUCCUGCACAGGCCGCAUGAAAGAGGCACAGGAACUCUGAUGGAAUCCCUGCACAAGCAGGGUCCCUAAAGAAACACUGCUGAUUUUGGGAGCCCGUCAGGUCAGGCCUUCAGGGGAAUAAACCAGUGCAACUCCAUUGCAGUCAACACCAACUUACAGCACAACUACUGCGCUUUGCAAUGGCCUCAUUAGAUACAUUUUUAAGCACUUAAACCUGUGCUUGCCGCCUGCGAACAACUGACCAUCAUCCAGCAUUAAUGUAACACUGCUAGCAAGCUAGUUACGAAAUAUUGCCACUUGGAAAACACACUUCGAAGUUAGAAAAGGAUUGAAAGCCGCAGAAUUCCACGUGUUUCUCAAUGUAUUGCUCUAAAAUAAUAGAUGUGCUUAUGGCUGUUCAUCCAAAACCAUCACCAGUCCCCAAAAUGGGAGUUCAGGACAAAUCCUGAGCUGGUGCAGAUAGGGAUAUCUCCACUGGCUUACAGGAGCUGUUUUAUUUAGCAACAGGCACACCUGCUGUUUCUUUGGAGAGCUGUAAAUUCACUCCCUGAUGCAGACAAUCUACAAGCCCAGUUUAUACUCUAAGAUUAAAUUCAUAUCAGAUGUUUUGAAAUUAAAGUGCAGUUUGUGUUCUUUGUGAAGGCAAGAAUCUCUUAAAAGUAUAGAGACAUCCAAAACUUUAUAUAACCAGUAUUACAUAACACCUUAAACUGGCUCAUAAGCGUUUUCCUUACUCUGGAUUUAUUACGUUUUUAUUUGGGGCAUGUGAAACAACUCUACACAAGUGCAGUUACUCACAUGGGGCUGGGCUGGGAGCAGAGGAAGAGUUCACUUCAGUGGAAAUUGUAAAGUGAGGAGCUUGUUACUGUGUUUGCAAAGAUGUCUGCAAAGAAACACCAUGAGGAAGAUGUUGUUUCAUUGUGUCUCACUGCCCUUAAUGGCCAUCGAUACAGACAUCAAAUAAAGCCCUGGCAGGAAGGUAGAGACAGUGUUAGUUUAAAGGCUGAAUGCCUGCAGAACCUCCGACUGCACACGGCAUUAAUGUCAUAAAUGUGUGUGAAUGUUCUCAUUCAGGCUGUAAUUUAUUCCCCAGGGAGAUGCAAAGCUAGCUCAAAUAUGCUACAAGCAAACCAAACUCUUCCAGUGAAGUGAGUGCAGUAUGUGAAUCCCAGAGCUAAAUUUAGGCUGGGGCUUGGAGUAAUUCUAAUCUCAGUGUAGCACUUUGAGUCGCAGCUAACAAAUACUGUGAAAUGACUCAGUGAAGUUCUGCUCCUUUGCUACAGUCUGGUUUGGAUGAGGUUGUGAAAGCUCUUUAUUAACUCAGAUUUAAGGAAUUCAGCUUAUGUUACUCAGCUGAAUUUUGUUGUUCAUGCAGUCGUUUAAAACAAUAUCAUUUGGUUUUAAAAUGUAAAUUAAGCUGGUUUUGGGGUGUGUGUGAUAGUUCACGUGAAACACACACUCUUAAUGUACUGAAAGCUCGUUAUAAAACACCAUUAACUGUGCUGCUGAAUAAUGCACAGCACUGGAAAAGAAAGGAUGCUGAAAUAUCUACAUUUUUUUCACAAAUUACAUUAUCUGGGUUUAUGGUCCAAGGUAAAUUAAAAUGGGCCAAAGCUC